RNAcentral lists this ribosomal RNA (834 nucleotides) under uncultured Bacillota bacterium. Its description in RNAcentral is "bacterial SSU rRNA". It matches the Rfam family "Bacterial small subunit ribosomal RNA", at positions 70 to 883 of the family's 1533-position model. The record is from RNAcentral. Lineage: Bacteria; Bacillati; Bacillota.
CAAAACCCCGCAAGGGGUUAGUAGAGUGGCGAACGGGUGAGUAACACGCUGGGUGACCUACCUUCGAAUGGGGGAUAACGUCCCGAAAGGGACGCUAAUACCGCAUAACAUCCUGCUUUUGAACAAGUGGAGAUCAAAGCCGGGGAUCGCAAGACCUGGCGUUUGAAGAGGGGCCCGCGUCUGAUUAGCUAGUUGGUGAGGUAACGGCUCACCAAGGCGACGAUCAGUAUCCGGCCUGAGAGGGCGGACGGACACACUGGGACUGAGACACGGCCCAGACUCCUACGGGAGGCAGCAGUGGGGAAUUGUUCGCAAUGGGCGCAAGCCUGACGACGCAACGCCGCGUGGAGGAUGAAGGUCUUCGGAUUGUAAACUCCUGUUGCCCGGGACGAAACGCUUCGACCUAACACGUCGGAGUUUGACGGUACCGGGUGAGGAAGCCCCGGCUAACUCUGUGCCAGCAGCCGCGGUAAUACAGAGGGGGCAAGCGUUGUUCGGAAUUACUGGGCGUAAAGGGCGCGUAGGCGGCCUUCUAAGUCGAACGUGAAAUCCCCGGGCUCAACCCGGGAACUGCGUCCGAUACUGGAAGGCUUGAAUCCGGGAGAGGGAUGCGGAAUUCCAGGUGUAGCGGUGAAAUGCGUAGAUAUCUGGAGGAACACCGGUGGCGAAGGCGGCAUCCUGGACCGGCAUUGACGCUGAGGCGCGAAAGCCAGGGGAGCAAACGGGAUUAGAUACCCCGGUAGUCCUGGCCCUAAACGAUGAAUGCUUGGUGUGGCGGGUAUCGAUCCCUGCCGUGCCGAAGCUAACGCAUUAAGCAUUCCGCCUGGGGAGUAC